This 483-nucleotide ribosomal RNA is filed under the name uncultured bacterium. Its description in RNAcentral is "partial 16S ribosomal RNA". It matches the Rfam family "Bacterial small subunit ribosomal RNA", at positions 28 to 507 of the family's 1533-position model. The record is from RNAcentral.
GACGAACGCUGGCGGCGUGCUUAACACAUGCAAGUCGAACGCUGAAGCUCAGCUUUUGUUGGGUGGAUGAGUGGCGAACGGGUGAGUAACACGUGAGUAACCUGCCCCCUUCUUUGGGAUAACGCCCGGAAACGGGUGCUAAUACUGGAUAUUCACUGGUCUUCGCAUGGGGGUUGGUGGAAAGGGUUUUUCUGGUGGGGGAUGGGCUCGCGGCAUAUCAGCUUGUUGGUGGGGUGAUGGCCUACCAAGGCUUUGACGGGUAGCCGGCCUGAGAGGGUGACCGGUAACAUUGGGACUGAGAUACGGCCCAGACUCCUACGGGAGGCAGCAGUGGGGAAUAUUGCACAAUGGGCGCAAGCCUGAUGCAGCGACGCCGCGUGAGGGAUGGAGGCCUUCGGGUUGUGAACCUCUUUCGCUCAUGGUCAAGCCGCAACAAUGGUUGUGGUGAGGGUAGUGGGUAAAGAAGCGCCGGCUAACUACGUG